Molecule: non-coding RNA, 172 nt
Filed under: Sporomusa sphaeroides
Lineage: Bacteria; Bacillati; Bacillota; Negativicutes; Selenomonadales; Sporomusaceae
Also listed under: 1 other name
Source: RNAcentral
UGAUAGUGUAAGGGAAUGGGUGCUUUGUGCUUAAUAGGGAAGUCCGGUGUAAUACCGGCACGGUCCCGCCACUGUAAUGGGGAUGCUUCCUAAAUUUGCCACUGGGAAACCGGGAAGGCUUAGGGCGGCGAUGAACCAGAGUCAGGAGACCUGCCUGUUCUAACACACGCCG